GGGGGGAUAGUUCAAAGUGACAGAUCUCAUGCUUAGCAUGCAUGAGGUCCUGGGUUCAAUUCCCAGUACCUCCU
Molecule: transfer RNA, 74 nt
Filed under: Camelus bactrianus (Bactrian camel)
Lineage: Eukaryota; Metazoa; Chordata; Mammalia; Artiodactyla; Camelidae
Also listed under: 1 other name
Rfam family: tRNA
About the family: Transfer RNA (tRNA) molecules are approximately 80 nucleotides in length. Their secondary structure includes four short double-helical elements and three loops (D, anti-codon, and T loops).
Source: Rfam by way of RNAcentral